Molecule: non-coding RNA, 107 nt
Organism: Nelumbo nucifera (sacred lotus)
Lineage: Eukaryota; Viridiplantae; Streptophyta; Magnoliopsida; Proteales; Nelumbonaceae
Source: Rfam
AGUCCAUUAUGAGGGACCUUCCUCAUUAAUUCCUUAUAACACUCCCAUGACUUAUACAAUGAUUCCCUAUCCUGCUAAGAGAAAGUGGUGAUAUCAUUCAUCAUCUU